This 450-nucleotide ribosomal RNA is filed under the name uncultured soil bacterium. Its description in RNAcentral is "bacterial SSU rRNA". It matches the Rfam family "Bacterial small subunit ribosomal RNA", at positions 59 to 519 of the family's 1533-position model. The record is from RNAcentral.
CAGUCGAACGAGAUCCAUUCAGUAGCAAUACUGCUGAAGAUCUAGUGGCGAACGGGUGCGUAGCACGUGAGGAACUUGUCCCGGUCUCUGGGAUAACAGUUGGAAACGACUGCUAAUACCGGAUGACGUCGGAACUUCGCAUGGAGUACUGACGAAAGGGUUACUGGAUCGGGAGAGCCUCGCGGCCUAUCAGCUUGUUGGUGGGGUAAUGGCCUACCAAGGCAUCGACGGGUAGCUGGUCUGAGAGGAUGAUCAGCCACACUGGGACUGAGACACGGCCCAGACUCCUACGGGAGGCAGCAGUGGGGAAUCUUGCACAAUGGGCGAAAGCCUGAUGCAGCAACGCCGCGUGCGGGAAGAAGGCCCUCGGGUUGUAAACCGCUUUCAGGAGGAACGAAACUGACGGUACUUCCAGAAGAAGGUGCGGCCAACUACGUGCCAGCAGCCGCG